AACGCGUAGGGUGCGAGCGUUGUCCGGAAUUAUUGGGCGUAAAGAGCUCGUAGGCGGUGUGUCGCGUCGGCCGUGAAAACCUGCAGCUUAACUGUGGGCUUGCGGUCGAUACGGGCAUCACUUGAGUUCGGCAGGGGAGACUGGAAUUCCUGGUGUAGCGGUGAAAUGCGCAGAUAUCAGGAGGAACACCGGUGGCGAAGGCGGGUCUCUGGGCCGAUACUGACGCUGAGGAGCGAAAGCGUGGGGAGCGAACA
This 254-nucleotide ribosomal RNA is filed under the name uncultured prokaryote. RNAcentral describes it as "partial 16S ribosomal RNA". It matches the Rfam family "Bacterial small subunit ribosomal RNA", at positions 522 to 774 of the family's 1533-position model. The record is from RNAcentral.